Molecule: small RNA, 33 nt
Filed under: Plasmodium falciparum 3D7
Lineage: Eukaryota; Apicomplexa; Aconoidasida; Haemosporida; Plasmodiidae
Description: Pfa-mtR105
Source: RNAcentral
CAGCGUCUAUAUUAAAAACACCAGGCAUGCAAU